GUCCAGUUGCAGAGGGAGAGUGAGAAAGUAUGGCUUUAGUGGGUACCUGGCAUCCAGCCAGGGUCAACCCCCUACAUGACAUAUUAUCAGCAAGAAAGAUAAAGAGGUUGGAGUAUAGGCAGAACUGAGAUUCCAGGACCUCAGCAGAAAUUCAGUCUUCCUUCCAGACAAUGAGUGCAUUCAAAAAUCCAGAGGCUCUUCCUUUGGAAAGGGUUUGUAAGACCGAGAUGUCUGCCAAAGAAAUUGCAGGAUCCUCUAAAGACUGUCAGGUCCAAGUUCAGUGAAGGUUCCUGAUGUUGCUGAACUACAAGCAGAAGUCCACAAUUGCGCCUUGAAGGAGAAUCUCCAUCCUUAAACUGAACAUCUGUGUUCCACACCCAGUGCCAAAGGAACACCUUUCAGAAC
This is a long non-coding RNA of Neopelma chrysocephalum (saffron-crested tyrant-manakin), 405 nucleotides long. RefSeq lists it as uncharacterized. The transcript has 4 exons. Lineage: Eukaryota; Metazoa; Chordata; Aves; Passeriformes; Pipridae. The record is from RefSeq and is a predicted model, not a curated record.